Molecule: ribosomal RNA, 253 nt
Filed under: uncultured bacterium
Lineage: Bacteria
Description: partial 16S ribosomal RNA
Rfam family: Bacterial small subunit ribosomal RNA
Source: RNAcentral
UACAGAGGUCUCAAGCGUUGUUCGGAUUCAUUGGGCGUAAAGCGCGUGUAGGCGGCCCGAUAAGUCCGCUGUGAAAGUCCAGGGCUCAACCCUGGGAUGCCGGUGGAUACUGUCGGGCUCGAGUCCGGAAGAGGCGAGUGGAAUUCCUGGUGUAGCGGUGAAAUGCGCAGAUAUCAGGAGGAACACCAAUGGCGAAGGCAGCUCGCUGGGACGUGACUGACGCUGAGACGCGAAAGCGUGGGGAGCAAACAGG